This 497-nucleotide ribosomal RNA is filed under the name uncultured bacterium. RNAcentral's name for it is "partial 16S ribosomal RNA". It matches the Rfam family "Bacterial small subunit ribosomal RNA", at positions 28 to 507 of the family's 1533-position model. The record is from RNAcentral.
GAUGAACGCUGGCGGCGUGCCUAACACAUGCAAGUCGAACGCAAAGCGAAAGGUGCUUGCCCCUUUCAAGUGAGUGGCGAACGGGGGGGUAAUACGGGGACAACCUGCCCCAAGGCAGGGGAGCACAAUUGGAAAAAGAUGCUAAUAACGACGAAAACUUAGUGUUGCAUGACACAAAGUUAAACGACGCUUCGGCGUCACCUAGAGUGGGAUUCGCGGUGCAUUAGUUAGUUGGUGGGGUAAAGGCCUACCAAGCCACGGACGCAUAGCCGAGUGGAGAGACGGAUCGGCCACCUUGGAACUGAGACACGGCCCAAACCCCUACGGUAGGCUGCAGUGGGGAAUGUUCCACAAUGGGCGAAGGCCUGAUGUAGCAACGCCGCGUGGGUGAUAAGGGCUUUGGGGUCGGAAAGCACUUUUGUAUGGAAGGAACGGCUAGAUGAGGAAAUGAUGUUAGUUUGACGGUACCGUACCAGAAAGAAACGGCUAAAUACGUG